RNAcentral lists this long non-coding RNA (4101 nucleotides) under Canis lupus familiaris (dog). Its description in RNAcentral is "lncRNA (ENSCAFG00000057459.1)". Lineage: Eukaryota; Metazoa; Chordata; Mammalia; Carnivora; Canidae. The record is from RNAcentral.
UCUAUGUAGAGUCAAAGUUGAUUAAUUAUAUGACUGAUUAAAUAUGAAGAAAAGGCGGAACACCUGUGGGGCUCAGCGGUUGAGCGUCUACCUUCCGCCCAGGGUGUCAUCCUGGAGUCUCAGGAUCGGGUCCCACGUCGGGCUUUCUGCAUGGAGCCUGCUUCUCUCUCUGUGUGUCUUUCAUGAAUAAAUAAAUAAAAUAUUUUUUAAAAAAAUAAAUAAAUAUGAAGAAAAGGCUCUAAAAUUACUAAGGACAUUAACAGAAAUAGGGAGUUGGGGGAGGCACUUGUUUGGGCAGAGAAAUAACCCAGUUUGGGAUAUGUUAUUUUUUCUGAGAUUUUUACAACAAAGGUAAUUUUUGUAGCCCCUGUGGAUCUAGAGUCCAGAUGUUAAGAAAGAAGCUCAUGUAGAACAUUAAUAAUUUCAUUACAUAAUAACCCAGGAACUCACCAGAAGGCAAACUGAGAAAAUGCCAUUUAGCCUCAAUUGUAAGUAGCACCCACUUAAAGAAAAUGUACUUCAAGUAAUGGCCAGACUUUCUUUUUCUCCUACCCAACUGGCAAAGAUUUUUUAAAAAAUAACUUGGUUUGGCAAACACGUAAAGAGAUGCAUACUUGUCGUAUAGGCUGGUGUCUGUAUAAGUGAUUACAGCUUCUGGAAGACAAUUUUUCUGUACGUAGCACUAAAAAGUGUCAGGCCUUUUGAGCCACCAACUCCAAUUCUACCUGAAGAAUGUAUAUAAAUAUUCUUUAUUUACUUGUUCUCCAUCAAAGUCAUAUACGUACGUGGUAUUAAAAAAAUAAAUUAUUUUAAAAGACAUAUAAGGACACUGUGCAUCCCCUUUUCCAUCUCCUACCUAUACUGCUCUUGAGAGGCCACCACUUUUAACAUCUAGCUAUUUUAUCUAUUAUUUACCUCUUUGUGUUUAGUUCAUUCAGCUAUUUCUUCCCCUUUUCCUUUUCUUUUUCUGAGUAUAAUUGACAUACAAUGUUAGUUAGUUAGCUUCAGGUGUAUAGCAUAGUGAUCCAACAAGUUUACACAUUAUGCUGCACUCACCACAAGUGUAGCUACCAUCUGUCACCAAACUAUUACAAUAUCAUUGACUAUAUUCCCUAUAUUGAGCCUUUUAUUUCUGUGGCUUGUUCAUUCCAGAGAUUAUAACUGGAAGCUUGUGUCUCCCACUUCCCUCCCCCAUUUUGCCCAUCCCCCCCACCCCUCUCCUCAAGUAACUGCCAGUUUGUUCUCUGUAUUUAUAGGUCUGAUUCUGCUUUUGUUUAUUCCUUUGUUCUUUUUAGAUUCCAUUUAUGAAUGAAAUCACAUGGUAUUUGUCUUUCUCAGUAUGACCUAGUUCACUUAGCAUAAGACCCUGUAGGGCCAUCCCAGGUUGUCCCAAAUGGCACAAUCUCAUCCUUUUAAAGGCUACAUAAUGUUCCAUUGUGGUGAGGGUGUGUGUGUGUGUGUGUGUGUGUGUGUACACAUAUAUAUAUAUAAUCUCACAUUUUCCUCAUCCGUUUAUUCAAUGGACACUUAGGUUGCUUCCAUAUCUUGGCUACCGUAAAUACGUCUACAGUAAACAUAGGGGUGCAUAUAUCUUUCCAAAUUAGUGUUUUUAUUUCCUUUGGAUAAAUACCAAAGGAAUGGUAUUAUUGGAUUGUAUGGUAUUUCUAUGUUUAAUUUUUUUCAGGAAACUCCAUACUCUUUUCCACAAGACUGUACCAAUUUACAUUCCCACCAAUAGUGCCCGGGGGUUCUUUUUUCUCCACAUGCUCACCAACACCUGUUGUUUCUUGUGUUUUUAAUUUUAGCCAUUCUGACAGGUGUAAGGUAAUAUCCCUCUUGUGGUUUUUGCAUUUCCUUGCGUUUCCCUAACAACUAGUGCUGUUGAGCAUCUUUUCACGUGUCUGUUGGCCAUCUGUAUGUCUUCUUUGGAAAAAUGUCUGUUCAGGUCAUCUGUCUCCUCUUUAUUGGAUUGUUUGUUUUUUCGGUGUUGCGAUAUAGAAGUUUUUUAUGUAUUUUAGACAUUAACCCCAUAUAAGAUAUAUCCCUCACAAAUAUCUUCUCCCAUUCAGAAGGUGGCCUUUUUGUUUUAUAGAUGGUUUCCUUUGCUGUGCAAACGCAUUUUAUUUUGAUGUGGUCUCACUAGUUUGCUUUUGCUUCCCUCGCCUUAGGAGACAUAUCUAGAAAAAUGUCAGUACGGCCAGUGUCAGAGAAAUUAUUGCCUGUGUUCUCUCCUAGAAUUUUUAUGAUUUCAGGUCUCUCAUUUAGGUCUUUGUCGUUCAGCUAUUUUUUGAUCUAUCAUCCAAAAACAUAGUCUAUUGACAUCCUGUUAUGGUAGUUGAGGAUUUCGCUCUUUCACUCAACUACCACCUCCAUUUCCCCUUUCCCCACCUCUUCCCAUUUUAGUUCUACUAUAAUCUUUAAAUGUCACAUAGCAAGACUUUCUGGUGAAAACAUCACAAAGCAAAAAUGUUUUGAUUAAUUUGGUAGUCAAUAUUUACAUAAUUAUGAAUAUAAAGAUUUUCAAAUGUCAAAUGAUUAGCAAUAUAUUUUUUCAAACCUACAAAUGCAAAACCAUGAAACGAUUUAUCAGUUCUAUUUUUUUCUCAAAAAAAAUCCCUGUCCUUUUUUUUUUUUCAUUUUGAAGUAUAGUUGACACACAGUGUUAUAUCAGGUAUACAGCAGAGUGAUAUGACCUGUCUAUACGUUAUGCUAUGCUCACCCCAGGUAAAGUCACCAUCUGGGCCUCUGUCCUCUGAUCUAAUCAGCACUGGCUGCACCCUAGGCUUUGAGGCAUGGUUGUCACUCUACGACUUCCUUUCAUCCUCUAGCAUAGCUCUGCCAUUUCCUGGGCUCUUUGUCUUCUUUCUCCGUUGCCUCUCUUAUUUUGAAAAUAGUAAUUUCCCCAGAAAGGGUACAUAAGGCGUGAAGUUUUGAGACCUUGAAUCUCUGAAAAUGUCUUUAUUCUACCUUCAUACUAUAUUGAUGGUUGGAUAUAAAAUUCUUAGUGAAACACAAUUUCACUUCAGAAUGUUGAAGGUAAUGUAAUACUCCACUGCAUUCUAGAAUUAAGUGAUGUUAUUGAGAAGCCUGACAUUAUUGUUUCCCCUUCUCUUUAUUUUUUAAGGUUGUGUCUGUUUGUUUCCCCCUCAUUUUUUAAUAAGAUUUUAUUUAUUUAUUAGAGACACAGAGAGAGAGAGACACAGGCAGAGGGAGAAGCAGGCCCCAUGCAGGGAGCCUGACGGGGGACUCGAUUCCAGGACUCCAGGAUCACGUCCUGGGCUGAAGAUGGUGCUAAACCGCUGAGCCACCCAGGCUGCCCUGUUUCCCCCCUCAUUUUGAUGUAGUAAGUUUCCUCCUCUUUGGAAGUUCUUAUGAUCUUUGUUCUCAGUGCUCUGUUCAUACUCAUGUCCUGGUUUUUUUCAUUCAUUGGGCUGGAGAUUCAUGCUCUUCAGAUCAGAUAAUUUUCCUUAGAAUUUGUAAUUUUUUCUUCUUCAUUCUUAUAGUCUAUGGAACUCUAGCUGAAAUGGAAUUUCUGUUUGAUAUUUGUUAAGUUUUCUGCCUUUCCCCCCUAUUUUCCUUCUCUUAGUCUUUUUGUUUGAAGUUCUGGAAGGUAUCGUCAAUGUUCGCCUGAUCUUUUUUGGCUUUUUUUUUUAUUUCAGUGGUUAUGUUUUUAAUUUUCUUUUUUCCUUUCCUUUUUUUUUUUUUUUUUUUUUAAGUAAUCUCUAUGCCCAAUAUGGAGCUUGUACUCAAGGCCCUGAGAUCAAAAGUUGCACACUCUACCACUGAGCCAGGCAGGUGCCUUACAUCUUUUAAUUUUCAAAUGCUUUUUUAGAAAGAUUCUUUUUUUUUCCCCUGCAUCCUGCAUCAUGUUUGUUUCGAGUUCCUUUUUCGUUUGUUUGUUACCUUUGAUGUUGUUUUGUUUUCUUAAUUGUCUGGUGAUUCUUGGGUCUCUGUUCUUUUUGUAAGAAAAAUCAACUAAGAAAGCAAAUUGAAAGCCCUUCCUGGGGUGAAAGGGAACAUGUCAAAUGGGAGACUUCUCUUACGGUGAUCAUUUGAUACUUGGACUUUUUAUUGGCUCUUUAUAAAAUCCCAGAGUGUAAA